This 403-nucleotide ribosomal RNA is filed under the name uncultured bacterium. RNAcentral describes it as "bacterial SSU rRNA". It matches the Rfam family "Bacterial small subunit ribosomal RNA", at positions 90 to 507 of the family's 1533-position model. The record is from RNAcentral.
ACUUAGUGGCGAACGGGUGAGUAACGCGUGAGAAACCUGCCUUUCAGUGGGGGACAACAGUUGGAAACGACUGCUAAUACCGCAUAACGUAUCUAGGGGGCAUCCUUUGGAUACCAAAGCUUUAUGUGCUGAAAGAUGGUCUCGCGUCUGAUUAGCUAGAUGGCGGGGUAACGGCCCACCAUGGCGACGAUCAGUAGCCGGUCUGAGAGGAUGAACGGCCACAUUGGGACUGAGAUACGGCCCAGACUCCUACGGGAGGCAGCAGUGGGGAAUAUUGGGCAAUGGGGGAAACCCUGACCCAGCAACGCCGCGUGAAGGAAGAAGGCCUUCGGGUUGUAAACUUCUUUUAGCAGGGACGAAGAACGUGACGGUACCUGCAGAAAAAGCAACGGCUAACUACGUG